GGAAUGCGAUAAGUAAUGUGAAUUGCAGAAUUCAGUGAAUCAUCGAAUCUUUGAACGCACCUUGCGCUCCUUGGUAUUCCUUGGAGCAUGCCUGUUUGAGUAUCAUGAAAUCUUCAAAGUAAAUCUUUUGUUAACUCAAUUGGUUUCUAAUUUGGUAUUGGAGGUCUUUGCAGCUUCACACCUGCUCCUCUUUGUUCAUUAGCUGGAUCUCAGUGUUAUGCUUGGUUCCACUCGGCGUGAUAAGUUAUCUAUCGCUGAGGACACUGUAAAAGGUGGCCAAGGUAAAUGCAGAUGAACCGCUUCUAAUAGUCCAUUGACUUGGACAAUACUUUUAUGAUCUGAUCUCAAAUCAGGUAGGACUACCCGCUGAACUUAAGC
Molecule: unclassified non-coding RNA, 378 nt
Filed under: plant metagenome
Description: partial contains 5.8S ribosomal RNA, internal transcribed spacer 2, and large subunit ribosomal RNA
Rfam family: 5.8S ribosomal RNA (bases 1-105)
Source: RNAcentral